RNAcentral lists this ribosomal RNA (253 nucleotides) under uncultured bacterium. Its description in RNAcentral is "partial 16S ribosomal RNA". It matches the Rfam family "Bacterial small subunit ribosomal RNA", at positions 524 to 776 of the family's 1533-position model. The record is from RNAcentral.
UACGUAGGGGGCUAGCGUUGUCCGGAAUCAUUGGGCGUAAAGCGCGUGUAGGCGGUCCGGUAAGUCCGCUGUGAAAGCCAGGGGCUCAACCCUUGGAUGCCGGUGGAUACUGUCGGGCUUGAGUACGGAAGAGGCGAGUGGAAUUCCUGGUGUAGCGGUGAAAUGCGCAGAUAUCAGGAGGAACACCAAUUGCGAAGGCAGCUCGCUGGGACGUUACUGACGCUGAGGCACGAAAGCGUGGGGAGCAAACAGG